GUGCUCGCUUCGGCAGCACAUAUACUAAAAUUGGAAUGAUAUAGAGAAGAUUAGGAUGGCCCCUGCACAAGGAUGACACACAAAUUCGUGAAAUGUUCCAUAUAUUU
Molecule: small nuclear RNA, 107 nt
Filed under: Neogale vison (American mink)
Lineage: Eukaryota; Metazoa; Chordata; Mammalia; Carnivora; Mustelidae
Source: RNAcentral